GGCAAUAUAGUGUAGUGGUCAUCACUCGGGAUUUUGAUAUUUCGGCGUCCAAGACGUUAAGAGUUCUUCCCGGAACCCAGGUUCGAACCCUGGUAUUGCCU
This is a non-coding RNA of Phellopilus nigrolimitatus, 101 nucleotides long. The record is from the annotation of a GenBank genome assembly. NCBI's taxonomy places the organism in Eukaryota, Fungi, Basidiomycota, Agaricomycetes, Hymenochaetales, Hymenochaetaceae.